RNAcentral lists this ribosomal RNA (247 nucleotides) under uncultured bacterium. Its description in RNAcentral is "partial 16S ribosomal RNA". It matches the Rfam family "Bacterial small subunit ribosomal RNA", at positions 523 to 769 of the family's 1533-position model. The record is from RNAcentral.
AUACGUAGGUGGCAAGCGUUAUCCGGAAUUAUUGGGUGUAAAGGGUGCGUAGGCGGGGUGUCAAGUCAGAUGUGAAAUCUCAAUGCUUAACGUUGAGACUGCAUUUGAAACUGGCGCUCUUGAGUGAAGUAGAGGUAAGCGGAAUUCCCAGUGUAGCGGUGAAAUGCGUAGAUAUUAGGAGGAACACCAGUGGCGAAGGCGGCCUGCUGGACCAAGACUGACGCUGAGGCUCGAAAGCGUGGGGAGC